Molecule: ribosomal RNA, 434 nt
Filed under: uncultured Clostridium sp.
Lineage: Bacteria; Bacillati; Bacillota; Clostridia; Eubacteriales; Clostridiaceae
Also listed under: 1 other name
Description: partial 16S ribosomal RNA
Rfam family: Bacterial small subunit ribosomal RNA
Source: RNAcentral
ACGGGAGGCAGCAGUGGGGAAUAUUGGACAAUGGGGGCAACCCUGAUCCAGCGACGCCGCGUGAGUGAAGAAGUGUUUCGACAUGUAAAGCUCUAUCAGCAAGGAAGAAAAUGACGGUACUUGACUAAGAAGCCCCGGCUAACUACGUGCCAGCAGCCGCGGUAAUACGUAGGGGGCAAGCGUUAUCCGGAUUUACUGGGUGUAAAGGGAGCGUAGACGGUGAGGCAAGUCUGAAGUGAAAACCCGCAGCUCAACUGCGGGACUGCUUUGGAAACUGUCACACUAGAGUGCAGGAGGGGUAAGCGGAAUUCCUAGUGUAGCGGUGAAAUGCGUAGAUAUUAGGAGGAACACCGGAGGCGAAGGCGGCUUACUGGACUGUAACUGACGUUGAGGCUCGAAAGCGUGGGGAGCAAACAGGAUUAGAUACCCUGGUA